CCUCAAAGAGUGGAGGGGUUUGGCAGAUGUCUCAGAGGGUCACAUAUCAUUCAGUGUUAGGCUGUACAUCCACUUUCAUGAAAUAAAGGAAUUGGCUAAACAUGCAUGCACAUAUGUUUAUUCAUUGUUUACAGGUGACUCACAUAGCAGCGAUGUUUAAAUGGGGUUGUUUUCGAGGCUGCUUGCUGCAGCUUGUGAUUGAAAUUACCGUUGCUAGGGAGACGCUCUAAUUUGGCUUCAUUGUAGACGUUGUGGUUUGAGCAACAGGUGCCUGUUAUUUUUGGUUGCUUUGUUGCAGGGCUCUGCGUGUUUAAGUACGCUGUGUUUGCAUGUGUGUGUGUGCGUGUGUUUCUUCUGCAAGGGUGUAUGCACAAAAGUGUGUGUACUGAUGUGUGUCCUACCAUGCUACCUUUGCAUCUUCAGAAGGACAGAAAUACACAGCCGCAAGCUGAGACAAGCAGGAGCAAAUAAGGCUCUGCGGUUCGCCGAGCUCCACACCCAUGGGAUGCUUAGCAUUUGUUUACCAACCCUCUUGAAGGUGUGAGAUUUUUUUAAGGGUUAUUUAAACCUCACUUCAAUUCACACAAGCAAAUCAGGUAAGAGGGGGAAAAAAAUCAGGUUACCAAAGUUGUGUGAACUGAAUCAACCGCCGCUCAACUUGACCUUUAAAUUUUUCCAUUCCUCUGUUUAACUAAACUGAUACACAGGGGUUUGAGCUGACAGACUACGAGGAUAAAGUGAUUAGACUUUGCAUACUCUGGUCCUUGUUCUGUGAUGUGAAACCGAAAGUGUGUUUAUUAUGAAUUUAAAUGACAACUUGCGCUAAAGUAGCCUGCAUACAUUGCAACCGCUUCAUAAUCCACCUUAUGUUGACAUAAAAAUGAAGCAACAUAUGCGUGAAACGGACCCAUUUUUAAAGACCCGUUAUUUACCAGUUUAUGAAGAUCCAGGCUGGUGGUGUGCAGUCGCCUCUGAUUGCAGAACAAUCUAAAAAUCAUAUGCUGGGCUCAUCCACACGAGACAGUUUCUCAGACCCGUUGUCCAGAAGGUAAGCCAAAACAGAGCCUGAGACAUCUCAUGAAACACGUCAUAUGCCAGUUCUCACUACAAACUGCAGAUCAGCAGGUGCUGUGAAACUUGGUUUCUCCUUUAUUCUUUACAUAUCACUUUGGUGUAUUUACACUGACCAUGUUUUUAAAGACAACCUCAAAAUAUCUCAUUUAAACAGAAAUGCUUUCACUGAUUAUUUACAGCUUACCAUCAAAUGAGCAGCUGAGUGCUAAACCAAUAAUUGCUUCUAAUCAGCUGUCAAUCCCCUUUACCUCCUUUAAAAGGAAGCUACGAAAAAAAAAGCUGGAUAAAGAAUAGAUAAAAGACCCUCAUGAAAACCAUCAAUUAGGAAGUAAAUACAUUUGUAAAAAUCCACUAAACACUGAUGUUAUCAAACCUUUUCAACAGGAAAUAAAGCACAAGAAAUGCUACAUUGGAGCAUGGUGACUAUGUAUUGCUUGGCAACCUUUAAGAAAUGGUUCAAUUUUUGGUUCAGAUUCUGCCUUCCCCUCGGUAAAGGGACCUCCGAGAUGGAAAAGAUUCUAUUUGUGCAAAUCAUGUGUGCAAAGCCCAAAUAAAGCAUGAAAAUUACACAUCUUCACUUGAUCAACCUGCUUUGUUUUUUGAAAUGCAAAGGGAGGUUUCUGUGGGAAUUGGUUUAAAUUGAAUUCAAAGUGUACACCUUUCCUUUCACGCUUCCUCAGCUUACCCUUAGCCAUUUUUUCUUUUUUAAUCCAUUCUUCCGCCAUCAUCAGCCUCUCUUUCUUUCGGCAUUCAUCUGUGAAAUGCCUGGCAUGGGCAAAGGUAAUUGGAAGUGACUUUUUUGUCAUUCAAACUAAGGAGAGAUUGACAGCAAUAUAAAGGCUCUGUUAAAAAAAAUCAUUGGUAAUUGGUAUGAUUAUACACUUCUGUAGAGCAAGAAGUCAGCAGAGAUAUGAAUUCUCCUUUUCCACAAUGCUUACUACUUUUGAUUGGCAUUUUCUUGUCUCCAAAUGCUUUGCAUUGCAGAAUUAUACAUACGUUUAUUAAGUCUCAUGUAAACUUUCAAACCUCCACACUUAAUCACCUGUAGUUUCAUUUUAACACAGACAUGUAACUCAAUGUAACAUGUUCCGAAGUAUAAACCCAGUGUUAUGUGUUGCAGGCAGGAUAUUUAAAUGCUGUAACAGUCAUAUAAAGAGGCUAUGAAAUUAAGAAAUUAUGAUUAAAAAAUGUAAUCUUUAUGGAAACGAUUACAAAAAUACCAACAAAAGUUGCACACUUCAGAUUUAUUAGCUCAGUCUGACCCAGGAUUACAUUCAAAGACCAAGUAACUACUGCGUUGUAAAUCAAGCUGUGCCCAGCAGGAGCAGGAUCACAAAGUCAAUAGCCUUCAGGGUCAAGGGUCAUUGGGAGGAAGCUCAAAAUCAGGCAGCUGCUAGUUAUAUCUUUAUCUACACUAAAUGACACAGUUGUUAUACUAACAGUUGUUUACAAUGUAAUUUCAGACAAUACCAAAAAGUAAAUAUAAUGGCAUUCAAGCAUGUUUGAAUCAUCUUUCAAUCUCAGUACUGUGUAUUUCAUCAAAGGUAACAUAUUUACCUGUUUAAAAUGCUUAGAUUUGUAGCUGGGCUGGCCUUUACAGUUUGCUCCAGCUGCUCCAAAAAACUGUCUGCAAGAACUCCUAAAUUUCACUUGACCAGCCUUAUAACUUCCAAGUUAUUUCUCCCAUGGUUGUAUAGCCAAGGGGGCCAAAGCCUAUUAAGUAGUUUGCUGGCAGAAAUAACACAGGCAGCCUUACUAAUGGGGAGGUAUUGCUAAGAACUGAAGGAACUGCUGCUUACACUGUGUGUUUCUCUUUGGAUACAGUGAAUCACUAUGGUUAUUUCUGAAUAUCUGUGGAAAGUACCUGCUAUAAUAAGCAGGGUUUUCUGGAGUUUGUUGACUUGCAGUCAAAAGUGAUACAAUAGAAGCAACAGCAAUGACCACACAGGAGGGCAGAGCUGUGACUCAAAGAUAGAAAGUAAGAAGCAGUAGCAAAACACAUAAAACUUGCGGUAGGAAGCUGAACUUUAGUACUAAUCAUGAAAAAGACAGGAUGCUGUGCUGAGGACAGCAGUUGCAAGGAUGUUCAACAUGUGUUCGAGUGUGUACAUUUUGAAAAUGUUACCAAUUUAUACAAUGUUUGCUCUCACUCAAUUCAUUGAGAUCUAUUUCAUGAACAGAAUAAUGAUGUAUCAUUGCUAUCUAUCAAAUAACAGCAUAAAAUUGUCUUUGUAAAGAUAGUAAAAUACUAUACUGGUAUAAUUAAAUAAACUUGACCAAGAAGUAUCUUUAAUGUUUGCCAAAAACAUAAAAUUUCCUCUAUGUUAACAAAUAAGAAUGCAGAUGACUGAGAAGAGUGCGUAUGUGUAUGUGUCUGUGUAUAUAUGUCCAUGUGUGUGCACCCCAGACAGCAGGGAGAAAGAAAAGCGGCCUUUUUACUAACGUUGAUUGGAAACAGAUGUUGGCGAAAACCAAGACAGCAAAGAAAAUGUUUCGGAAAAUUCUCAGGGCUCAGCCUUCCCUUUCUGGGCCCUGGCCCAGGCAACCAAUCAUUGCAGAGCACCCUCUGGUCUUUGGGGUGAACUAAGCACUUCUAUUGGAUGAAGACGUGAACGUGGGCGUUGGGAGCAGAUGUCCUGGGAAAGUUGCUGAAUCCCACUCAACUCACAGUAAAAGAAAGCGAAAACAUUUGCUUGGUUAACUGGACAGUGACCAAAGCAUGUUUUAAUCCAGAUGAACUCUCAGUGCAUGUACAAGCUGACAGUGAAUACAUUAGCACUGUGUUACAGAUUUAUACAUUUGAAAUAUAUUGCUUUUCAAGUUGUUAUUCAUUCAACUGCCUCACAAAAAGAAACUUUAGAAGAAUAGUCUGUAAGAAAAAUGUCUUUAGGACCUCUAAUUCUUUUCUGUCAUCUAGUCGGCUCAAAUGAAUGCGAAUGAGAGUUUCCUCGCACUAUCAUCUCCCCAUCCCUUCACACUUCUAAACCUUCAACUGCUCCUUUGCUCCUUUUCACCUCCUAACCUUCACCCUCCUGCAUUCAACUUUUUCUAUUCCAUCUCUCAUCUCUGUGUUCGUCUCUGCCCCCAGCCCCCUCUCACUCCAUCUUCAGCACCCAGAUUCAGUCACAGUCUAGUUCACAUAUGGCCUCACCUGCACACAAAGCUCCAUCUCACUCUUUUAUUGUGUCAGUCUAUUGCCUAUUCACAGCAACGGCACAGCACAAAUCAAUCAUCUUUCCUAAUGGAAAGUCCACAUUAACAUGAGAAGACACUCAAUUUCCGUCUCAGAAUGCCAGGUCGACUGGUACCUGAGCUCCGGUCGAUGAAGAUCCAGGGCCCUGCAGGCACUCUCAUUUCGGGUGGGAUAGCGAGGUGAUGCCGUCAGGUCCAGGGGUGGCACCGGGAGUCAAUGGUGUAUUAACUGAGGAUGUGACAAUGGCAAUAAAAAUGCAAAUUGCCAUCCAAAGCAGGGGAUGGCCUGGAUCUGCCCUUCAUAAGCCUGCAUAAUACAGUCAGCACACACCUGCUAAGACAUGCGGUUCAACACGUCUCAAACAUAACAAUACAGUGAGUGAGAGGAAGGGAGCGUGUGCGUCUAUCCUCGAGACCAUAACACCGGUAACUAAAAGAGUUUUCUUAUCACUGUCACUUCUCAUUGAUUUGUCUAGAAGUCCCCAUUAUGUACAAUUUGUAUUGGGUAAGAAAAAAAAAAAGUUAAUAUGCUAUUGAACAGCACUGGUCUCUACAAACCUUUUACCAUUCUUCAAGUUAUUUUUUGUUCUCAUGAAAACGACUUCAACAUGGUUUAACACCUAUUUGACAUUUUGAAACCAACAUGCUAGACAGCACUCGCCACAAUCAAAAUAACACCAAAAGAGGAAAUGUUUUUUAAAAGACUGAUGGGUGAUAUUUCUAGUAGCUCCAGAGACUUGGGCAGUUCAUACCAGGGUGCAGUGAAGCUAUUCUGGUGUUAUUAGAAAAUCUGUUGUAUCCUCAUUGUUGUUAACUUUGGGCAAAUUAAUCCAUUAUGUUUUGUCUGAUAUAUUCCAUACUAAGGUUAAAGGCCAAGUGUGUAGGAUUCAGCAUGAUUUACUAGCAAAAACUGUAUCUCUGAGUCCAGUUCAUUACACACACCCUCAAUCAUGGGAAGACUCUGAUCUGACAGUUGUCCAGAUGAUAGUUAUCAACAGCCUCCACAAGAAGGUUAAGCCAUAAAAAUGAUAGCUGAAAAGGCUGGCUGUUGGUAGAGUGCUGUACUGAAGUAUAUUAAUGGAAAGUUUAGUGGACAGGAAAGUGUGGUAGCAAAAGGUACACAUUGUCUCAAAAAGUUAUUUCAAAAACUUGGGAGAGCUUCACAAAGAGUGCACUAAGCUGGUUUGAGUACAUCAAGGCUACUCUUGCAUUCCUAAUGUUAAGCCACUCCUCAACCAAAGCCACGAGAAGUGUCUCUUUCCACAUAAAGAUAAAGUUUGCAUUUCAUCAUUUGGAAAUCAAGGCCAUACAGUCUAGAAGAGGAGAGGAAAGUCACAGAAUCUAAGGUGUUUGAAGUCCAGUGUGAAGUUUCUGCAUUCUGUGGUGAAUUGCAUUGCAAUGACCUGUGGUGUCAGUUUGCAGUGUUUUAUCAUGUCCAAAGUCAACAUUGUCAUCUACAAGUAGAUUUUAGAUUAACUCGUGCUUCCAUCUGCUGACAAGCUUUACGGAGAUGCAGAUUUCCUUUUUUAGCAUUGUUUUGUUAACCAUGUUAUUACUGUGUUUGACCCAACUAACCUGGCCUGAACUGUCAAGAGGAAGAUGAAAGCCACUAUGAAAGCAACUUCAGUAACACCUUAGCAGUAACACCUCCAUAACACACCACACUGAUGCAGUAAUUUGUUGUAAAGGAGCAUCAAUAAAUCAAUGCAUAAAUCAACACACCUUUUCACAAGGUAAACAUUUCUGUAUAAAACUUUGUUGCUUGAUCUUGGAAAAUAUUUGAGAUAUAUGUAUUAAAAAGAAACAAUAUCUUGAAGUGUAAUUAAAAAUCACCUUCAGUUUUCCAUGAUAGUCUAUUUUAGUAGUCAGUAGUCUCUAUGAAAUGGCAAACCUCCAUAAUCAUUUAGCAGGGUCUUUUUUAGACAAUGGUUUUAAGUCUGUUUAUGUUAGUGCCUGCAUGCUAUAGUAACACAAGACAACUUUGAAGGGCAAUAGGACAUGAAUUUGUCCUCUGAUAACAGUUUUUUUUUCUUCUUUUGGGCCAUAAGGACCCACAGGGACACAUUGGUUGUAUUUCAAAGCUGCGUAAUGGAACCACUGAGCUGUUGUCUCGUGCGUCACAGGGAUUCUGUUUCAACGAAGAGGAUAUAAUGUUGGGCAGUGAAGAUAGAUGUAGUUAUGUUCUAUCCACAGCAGAAUUUUAGGUCAUUAACAUUAAAGAUUGAGCUACAGAAGAAAUUAAAAGUUGGAAAAGAUUUUGGAGUUCAGUUUACAAUAACAAUCAGUUUAAGGCACUUUAUAUUUUGAGAUAAAGACCCUUCAAUAAUAUGUUGAGUGGCAUAUUAUAUAUUCCAUAUUAUAUGACAUAUAAUAACAUGUAGACACACGCUUUGCCUUCCAGUGUUGGAUUUAUGGUUGUUCCUGUUCUACUGCUUUCUUCACAGUUCAUUUAGAUGUUCUAACUGUGUAUUCAUGUAGUCUAAUACGAAAAACUGAUAGAGUACAAAUACUAUAGCGUCACCACAACUUGUUCUAGUUCCAUUCACAAACUCUGAGGAGUUUGACUAAUUAAAUGAGCCAAAGGGUGAUUUACUUAAUCUAUUAAAAAUUACUAUGUUACUUAGGGACCAGACAACAUUGCAACAUCUGUCACAUGCUUGUUAUUUAGGAUUUGUUUAAAUUGAUUCUGUAAUCUGGCGCAGCAACUAUUCUGCCUGUAAUUACAUUUAGAUGCUAUGCUGCUCCUUGAUCCAAGGCAAAGGGCACAUUGUGUGUAUGUAUUUAAAUUUCCAUGUAUAAGUGUCACAUAUGUCUCUGCAACUAAUCCUAAAAUAUUUUAGAAAAUACUGAAUAUGGCUAUUGAUGAGUAAGUAAGCCCUUUAACUGUCUAAUCUCUCACUGUUUUUUUGUGUGUGUGUGUGU
Long non-coding RNA from Haplochromis burtoni (Burton's mouthbrooder), 7188 nucleotides. RefSeq lists it as uncharacterized. NCBI's taxonomy places the organism in Eukaryota, Metazoa, Chordata, Actinopteri, Cichliformes, Cichlidae. The record is from RefSeq and is a predicted model, not a curated record. The transcript is spliced from 3 exons.